RNAcentral lists this ribosomal RNA (826 nucleotides) under Burkholderia contaminans. RNAcentral describes it as "bacterial SSU rRNA". It matches the Rfam family "Bacterial small subunit ribosomal RNA", at positions 352 to 1176 of the family's 1533-position model. Lineage: Bacteria; Pseudomonadati; Pseudomonadota; Betaproteobacteria; Burkholderiales; Burkholderiaceae. The record is from RNAcentral.
CAGUGGGGAAUUUUGGACAAUGGGCGAAAGCCUGAUCCAGCAAUGCCGCGUGUGUGAAGAAGGCCUUCGGGUUGUAAAGCACUUUUGUCCGGAAAGAAAUCCUUGGCUCUAAUACAGUCGGGGGAUGACGGUACCGGAAGAAUAAGCACCGGCUAACUACGUGCCAGCAGCCGCGGUAAUACGUAGGGUGCGAGCGUUAAUCGGAAUUACUGGGCGUAAAGCGUGCGCAGGCGGUUUGCUAAGACCGAUGUGAAAUCCCCGGGCUCAACCUGGGAACUGCAUUGGUGACUGGCAGGCUAGAGUAUGGCAGAGGGGGGUAGAAUUCCACGUGUAGCAGUGAAAUGCGUAGAGAUGUGGAGGAAUACCGAUGGCGAAGGCAGCCCCCUGGGCCAAUACUGACGCUCAUGCACGAAAGCGUGGGGAGCAAACAGGAUUAGAUACCCUGGUAGUCCACGCCCUAAACGAUGUCAACUAGUUGUUGGGGAUUCAUUUCCUUAGUAACGUAGCUCACGCGUGAAGUUGACCGCCUGGGGAGUACGGUCGCCAGAUUAAAACUCAAAGGAAUUGACGGGGACCCGCACAAGCGGUGGAUGAUGUGGAUUAAUUCGAUGCGACGCGAAAAACCUUACCUACCCUUGACAUGGUCGGAAUCCGCUGAAAAGGUGGGAGUGCUCGAAAGAGGACCGGCCCACAGGUGCUGCAUGGCUGUCGUCAGCUCGUGUCGUGAAAUGUUGGGAUAAAUCCCGCAACGAGCGCAACCCUUGUCCUUAGUUGCUACACAGGAACACUCUAAGGAAACUGCCGGUGACAAACCGAAGGAAGGUGG